AUCAUUUAAGUUCCUCUUAGGUUUAUUCUCAAAUUGUUCCAAUUUUUGAUUUAUUUCCCUAAAAGCUUCUUCUUCAUCAUAUUCCGGUUCUUGGUUCAUUAUUUCACAAUUAGAUCGCGUGUUUGGAUCUAGGCAUGAAGUUCGCAAGCAUGUCAUGUUAUUUAAAGCCGCAUUAUUAGAACUGAAAAAAGAAAUAAGAGAAAAAAUAACAAAAAUUAGAAAGAAUAAAGAGAGAUGAACGAUGAAAUAUUGAUUUCAUUUCAUUGAAUUUUGAAGAUAACAGGGUUUACAUUGGAAUUUAAAGACGAGAAACUAAAAUAAAUAUCCGAGUUACACCCUGAGAUAACUCGUGAUGCAGAAAAGGUGGCAAGACUGGACUACCGGGAUUCCCGCUUGAUUGGGAAAGGAGCAGCCUUCCAAUUUUGCAAUUUGGCAUUGGGCCCCAUAUACAGCACCUCAACGGUGCUCGAGCCUUCUCCCAGUAGGACCAUGUGGGUUUCAUACAGCAUCUGCCUCAUAGCCCCACAUAUUUCUUCAAUUUCCUUGGCCGUGAAGGCCUCAUCUUCCUCUUCCUCAUUGUGCUUAGGCCUGACAAAUGUUCUAUAAAGAUGCGGAAUCGACUUAGGCAAGACCCAACCAUUGUUCUUUUGUUUAUCUGCCUAUUUUUCAUCAGCUGGCGUGGGUUGGAAACCUACCCCAAAAAACUUCUCGCUAGCCACCAAAGUGAUAGGUUUGGUAAUUCCUUGCAAUGACGUUCUGAGCCCCUUCCCGAGUUUGUAACCAUGCCUGAUCAUUUCCUUGGCAACCAUAAUUGACGUAUUUGAGAGAAAGGGUUGAGGACAGGGGUUUCCUUCUUCACAUUGGUCCGCGACCACAACCUCAAAAUCUUGAUAGACUAUAUGUUCACUUCCUUCUCUAGCUUCAAGACAUGGGACUGACGGGUCCUGGUAAAUCGAUUACUCAUCUUCUCCGUGAACUACAAUCUCCUAAUCUUCAUGUUCGAAUUUCACCAUCUAGUGGAGAGUAGAAGGCACGACCCAUGCUGCGUGAAUCCAAGGUCUUCCUAAGAGAAAAUUAUAGGAAAUAUCCAUGUCCAAGACCUGAAAGAUCACCUCGAAAUCCGCUGGCCCAAUAGUCAGAAUUAAAUCAAUCUCGCCUAUGGUAUCUCUCUUGAUGCCAUCAAAGGCAAGCACACAGACGUUGUUGGGAUUGAUUCUCUUAGUACCGAUCUCCAUUCGUUGCAGAGUUGAGAGAGGCCAAAUAUCUACCCCAGAACCACCAUCUAACAUGACCCUUUUUCAUAUAAUAUCCAUCGCAUUUAACUGUCAGAUAAAGGGCUUUGUUGUGGGUGGCCCCUUCUGGGGGCAAAUCAUUCUUGCUGAAAGAGAUUUGAUUGACUGCAAAAAACCUUUCCGCCAUCCUCUCCAACUGUUCCAUAGUGGUUUUAAUGGGUACGUAUGCUUCAUUAAGAGUUUUGAUCAACACUUUUUGAUGUUCAGUUGAAUUCAUUAGCAGAGACAAUAAAGAGACCUGAGCAGGAGACUUCCGGAGUUAGUCGAUUAUCUCGUAAUCCGCCAUUUUCAUUUUUUGGAAGAACUCUUCUUCUUCUUCAGCACUCACUGGCUUCUUGAGUGGGAAACGCUUCUUCGUGGCAUUAUACACUUCUUCUAGAUUGAGGUAUUUCUCCACUGGGUUAAUUUCACUUGCUUCUCCCGAGAUCUCUUUACCCCCAUAAGUUACUACCGCCUUGUUGUAAUUCCAUGGGACGACAGUGGGAUCUGUCAUGGGCCUCUGCGGUGCGCGGCCAAUAACCAUGGGCUCAUUCAGCCUUGGUGAAAUUACUGGCCCCCGCACCACGUAGGUCCCUUUAGGCACAUACAUUUUAGAUCCCUUAUUUAGCUCAAACCUUCUUGGAGGGCUCAAUGACACCUGUUCUUUCUUGUGGCCUUGGGGAAUAUAGAUAGCGACAUCUUUUGAAGGCUCUGCCCCAGUUUCAGUUACAACUUUCUUUUCUGUUUUCUGAGGGGUGGGUUUACUCUUCUUCUCCCCCUUGUCUUGUUUUGCGACAGCCUUUGGCUUAUUUUCUACAUCGGCUAUGGCAUUGAUGGCUUUUAGAGCUGGGUCAAACUCUCUAUCUUCACAAAUCAUUCCAAUAACUGGCCCGUUGUUGUGAGCUGGUAAUGGACUGUUGGUUACAUAAGGAACGUGUUCGUCUUUUAGCACUAUUCGCUUUUGUUCUAUAAGGUUCUCCACAGCCCUUUUCAGGGUCCAACAAUCAUCUGUAGCAUGCCCUUUCGCCCCUAAGUGGUAAGCACAUCGAGUAUCGGCUCUGUAAGCAGGCGACAUUGGGUUCUUCCUGGUUUGGGGUACAGGCUGCAACAAACCCAUCUGGACAAGUUUAGGGAACAGGCUAGAAUAUGACUCACCAAUGGGCAUGAAGUUUGCCAUACUGGGUGGUUCCCGGGCACGGGCAUUGUAGGGGAAUUUAUUUUGUGGAGGUUGGGGAUUAUACUGAGCUUGGCGAGGAGGUUGAUUUCUAGGAAAUGGAGCUCGGUUUUGGUUGAAUUAUUGUUGUGGCCUAGCGUAUGGCUAGGCAUUCAUCACUGCGUAUGGCUGAGGAACCAUAGCAUAGGCCACAUCCUGAUGGGGAUAGUAAUGUUGUAGGGUUCUUGCAGGGAAGUAAGGUCUAGGUAUACGGGGUUUUCUUACACCUGAAGUUGUCAUUGCUACUUCAUCCUUCUUCUUUCGGUUCGCUACACCUCCAGACCCGCCUUGAAUUGCUUGGGAGGUAGCCCUUAUAGCAGAUUAACUCAAUAUGCGCCCUGGUUUUAGACAAUUCUCAACCAUUUCACCAAUUUUGAUGGCCUCGGCAAACGGUUUAUCCAUCGCGGACAUCAUAUUCUAAAAAUAAUCAGCCUCUUGGGCUUGAAGAAAAACACUAAGCAUAUCUGUUUCAUCCAUUGGAGGCUUGACUCUGGCUGCUUGUUCGCGCCAUUUGACAGCAUACUCUCGGAAGCUUUCCAAGGACUUCUUCUUGAGAUUGGACAAUGAAUUCCUGUCAGGGGCAAUGUCGAUGUUGUAUUGAAACUGCCUGACAAAAUCCUGAGCCAGGUCAUCCCAAAUAUGUCACUGAGAUAUAUCCUGAUCCAUGUACCAUUCAGAAGCAAUGUCAACUAUGCUCUCUCCAAAAUAAGCAAUGAGAAGCUCUUCUUUUCCGCCAGCUCCCCGCAAUUGGUUGCAGUACCUUUUGAGGUGGGCUAUGGGAUCCCCAUGCCCGUCAUACUUUUCAAACUUUGGGGUUUUGAAGCCCAAUGGUAAAUGCACGUGGGGAAACAUACACAGGUCAGCGUAGGAUACGCUCUUCUUCCCACUCAAACCCUAUAUAUUUUUGAGACUCUGCUCCAUACUCCUCAUCGUUCUGGUAAUCUCCUUUUGUUCAGGGUUUUUUGUGGUUUUCUCCUACCCCUCGAUAAACUCAUACCGGGGUGGUUGAGGGUAAGAAUUAGUAGUGAACUGGGUUGGUUCCAUUGGGAAAGAUGGUGCUUGAAAGGUGAAAGAUGAUGGAUCAAAGCUGGGCCUGGGUAGAGUGGGUUAUGCCACAGCUGAACAAGGUGGCGCAGUGAAUAUGUUUGAGGCCACACCUGACAUUGACACCUGGGACGGGCCUCAGAAGGUGUUCCGGCAAAGUGGGCUGAGAUGGUAGGAUAUCCCAGUGGGGUGUUUGAAUAACUUAUGGAGAUGUUGGAAGUCCCACUUUCCCUGGGAAAUAGCUCAGGGAAUCCAGGUAUCACACUUGGUGGUUCCCUUCCGUUGGCCCAGGCGUCCCACAUUUCCAUCAUGCGGAGCCGUAGAAUUCUAUUUUCCUCAGCAGUUGCUGACUCAGAAGUUGGGAUGGCCGAGAUCGGGCUAUCCUCCGGAAUAGGAACUGUUGCCACAUGACUUUCCGAAGACAUUUCAACACUUCCUUUCGACCUUGUAAAGUACGGAUGUGAAACCAAACUACCACAAAACCAACCACCUUAAUCCAGAACCUGUACUUAACAGUAGAAAACAAACCGGUCAGUUUGAAGCAAUUAACACAUAGGUAAUCGCACGUUGGGGUGUGAUGCACCUAUACAGUUAAAUGUGUUUCUACAUGUUUUGCAACGGUCGCGUGUUUCAUCCCAGAUUUUGCUUAUUUCCCCAAUUUUCUUUUCUUUCCACUUUAGCUCUUUGAUGUUUCUCCUCUUAUUCCCAUUUUCCUCUCUUUUCUUUCCUCCUUUUCCUUGCUCUCUUUUUUUGGUUUUUCUUUGGCUCUCUUUUUCUUUUCUUUUGGUUUUUCUUUCGGUUUUUUCCUUCCACAUCCCUCUUUUAUUUGAGUUAUUUUUACAAAAAAUUAUGACUAGAUCCGAUAAGGAUUGCCUACGUAUCACGACGCCGCGUGAAUCAGAUCAUUACGUAGUUUAGAAAUAAAUGCAAAAUAAAACAUUUUUUUUCUUUUGAAAUUUUCAUUAAAACAAAAGCUUUAAUUUUCUCUAUUACAAAGACUCGAUCCUACAUACUUGAGAAUUGAAAACUACAACAAACUCAAUACAGACUUUAGGGAAUGAAAAUACAGACUCAGAAAAGAAAACACAAUCAGGAGUACAUCAGUGCCUCCAAUCCUGUCCUAGAAACACCAACUGGUCUUGCCACGAGCCUACGUGCCAUGUCAUCUUGGAGGCAAUAGAGAUCGUCCAUUAUCUGGCGGACAAAGAUCAUUACUGAGGCGAAGAACAUGGACCUGGUCAUGUCCUCGCACUCGUUGCAUUUCAUCACGAUGUAGUCGGCGAUUUUUCUAACCCUUCCCCUAAUGAUGCCCUUUUCUUGCAACAACCACCCAAUCUGCUGAGAUCUAGCCUUUAAGACCUGAAUGGCAGUAUGAUUAUGCUCUUGCAAAUGCUGUAGGUCUCCCUCUAGUGGUGCCAUCAAAGCGUAGCAAUGUUCUCUCUCGGCUUUGAAGCUCUUGGUUUGUUUGGCCAUUUUAUUCUUGAGGGUGGUAGCUUUUUCUUCAAAUUUGUGACUUCUCCAUCGUAUUUCCUUUUUAGUUGUCAAACAAACUCUGCCCGCCCCUCGGCGUUCUUUGCAAAUUGUUCUCUAGCUCUUGCCAAACUGCCUUCAGAUUUUUCUAGAUCAUUCCCGUAGUCACAUAUUUUAUUCCUAAGGCCAUUAAUGAGUUUUUCAUCUGCUCAUGUUCUUUCCGGAUUCUUGGCAGCUAUCUUCAUCCUUUGGAUUUGGGCCCGGAGGAUUUCAUUUUCUUGGGCUAAUUUUUUUUUCUCGCCCUCUUCUGCAGCGGCUUGCACAUCACUAUUGAACUUGAGGUCUCUGAUCUGUCCUUCUAACCUGUAUAUGGUGGCCCGAUAUUCAUUUUCUUUUGCCAACCACUCCUACUGUUCUUGUGAUGCUUCGACAAAUUCUUGGAGGUGGAGUCUUUUAGCUGGCCUUCCAAACUCAAUUUUCCUUUUGUACCAGGCAAGGUAGCUGUGUGAGACUUAUUCUCUGGAUAGAUCACGCACUCGAGUAUUUGCUGUCAGAUAUUGGCACUCACUCCAAAUCUGGCGAACCACUGUUUCGUUAAACUGGCCAUCGGAACGGAUCUCGACCACAUGAAGGCUAAGGUUUUCAUCCUUGGGCACUAUUUGACGUCUCCCUAACUGUCUCAAAACCCGAUAUGGGGCAUAAGGCUGGAUGUUUUUGAGACCCAUUAGGAGGAAGUGAGGACUAGUAGCUAGCAUGUAUAUGAUUUCAUCAACAGGAAGCCAACCCAACAUCCACUCUAUUUGAUUUGCAGUGAUGGAGCAGAGGCAAGAUAUCCAUUCUGCAACCCCUUCUGGCAUGUUAAACCUGUCUACCCUUGUAUAAAACUCCCCUAUGCAGCUUUUCCCUGUCGACCCAUAGUUCAUGUACUGAGGACGAUGACAUAGAUGCUCAAUCAUCCACAUUUGCAGCAGCAAGUUGCACCCUUCAAAAAAGUCUCCUCCAGCCUUACAGGCUGUGAGGGCUCGGAAGAUUUCUGACACUAUCAUGGGUGCGAGGGUGCCUUUGGCCUGAGUAAGCAAAGUGUUGAUGACCCCAGCUAUCCGUACAUCGAUAUUCUCAUCUUUCCUAGGAAAUACAAGAAGACCCAAAAAUAUCACCAUGAAAGCGAAGCACCUGCGUUCUUCCCAUUUUAGUUGAUUCCCUUUGCUGCAAAUUCUGCUUUCUGGAUUGUUGAAACCCUCUAUGUGUCUGUAUCGCUAGUAUAUGAACUGUGCAGUGGAAAGACCAGCUGCCAAAUCUAGGUAUUGGACUCCCCUACUUAUCUUUAGCAAAUCUAGAAACUUGUGUGGAGUGACAGCUCUUGGAGUGACCAAAUACUUAUGUCUCAGAGCUUCAGUGCUCCCAAUAAACCCAGCUAUCUCUUCCAAGGUGGGUGUGAGUUCAAAAUUCGAGAAAUGAAACACAUUGUGAGCUGGAUCCCAAAACGUAACCAGUGCCUUUAUUAUGUCUCCUCUAGGCCUGAUCUUCAAUAACCUGGUGAGACCCCCCAAGUAGAGAUUGACCGUAUCUUAUCCUGAUUUACCCAGAUCUUCCCACCACAUAUACAGUUCCAAAGGAAUCUUGGUCAUGACCUUCAUUGGUAAGUUUUGACUCGUGCUCAUUCUGCACAUUUAAAUGAAGGUGAUUGGUUUAAAACAUAGCGGAUUUUACAAAAGAGGUCGAUUUUGCAAACAUUUAAAUAACACGGCUACUUUUGCAAAUACAGCCCUUCAGUACUUCGAAAUGGAAGAUUUUAGGGAUGUGCUUGCUAGGUAACCAAAAUUUUGAAAAAGGACAGUAGGUGGUUAUUUUUGCAAAAACGGUCUUCCGGCGUCCUUUUGGGGACAUUUUAGGCUAUUUAGACAAGAAAGACACUACCUAAUUUUAUUUAAAAUAGAAUAACAACAUUUCAUCAUUUUUUGGGUUAUUUUUGCAAAUAUGGAGUUGGACCCGAUAGGGGUUGCCUACGUAUCCCACAUUCGGUGAGAAUCAAACUUGCGUAGUUCGGUCAGUUUUGACAAAAUAAAAUAGAGAAAAGACAUGAAACUUUUGAAAUAAAAUUCUUUUUCUUCUUUUUUUCUUCAAAAUUUUGGCAGAGUUUCAGCGUAUUUUGGACACCAAGUUUUUUUCAAAGGCGGGUAAUCAAUUCUCUCAUACCUCAAUUUUAUUUUCCCAAUUCCUUCCCUAUUCUAGCAACCGGUCAACAUGCAAACCGAAGCAAAUAACUGCACAAGUAGCACGUAGAAUAUGCAUCAGGAUGGUCUUUGAUUCUGGGGUCCACCUGUCCUAGACGGACCCAACCCCUGUGUUGAGUCCCCAAAGUCAAAUGCACAUGAUGCAAACAAACGUUACUACUAGGGAUCCGGCAUGAGGCUAAGUUAUUCUAAGUGUAAAACCUGCGUAUAUUGUUCUAUACUUAUGUACCCGAGCGGACAACUCGAGCCAAGGGGGGGCUACGUAUUGGGAACCAAAAGGCCAUCCGGCUUUGUAACAUGUCCAAGCCUCUUUCUUAUUUCAAGGUAUGACACUAACAGAAAGAGGAGUCACGCCAGCGUGCACAUCCCCGAAGAUGAGAAGAGAANNNNNNNNNNNNNNNNNNNNNNNNNAACAAAAGUUCUGGGUUAUGUUCUCCAGCAUAGUCGUCAGAGCUGUCACACCUCCUUUUUACAACCCGAAAGGGUACAUCAGGGAGUUUUUUCAAUUAAAGUGACAUUAUUCGAAAUAGGAUUAUUUAUUUAUUAGAGUACUUGGAAUAAUUUAUUUGGUGUCCCAAGUCACCGAUUUAUUUUUAAAUCCCAAAUCGAGGAAAUUCGACUUUUCUUUUGAAGUCUACGAACCAGAAAUUUUAAGUAAGGAAUUCCGUUAACCCGGGAGAAGGUGUUAGGCAUUCCCGGGUUCCGUGGUUCUAGCACGGUCGCUUAAACUAUUAUAAUUGACCUAUUAUCUGAUUUUAAUACAUGUUUUAGCCUAUGGUUCAAUUUACUUAUUAACCGCUUUUAAUAAUUAUUGUUACAUAUUGCGAAUCAUGUCACGAGAAUCGUACCCAUGAUCUACAACAUGUUUAAUUUUAAAGAUUAAAUUGUGGCCAGGUCACAAAAAUGUACCCCCGGAUUUUAGUAAUUAGGCGUCACAACUACGCCAUGAGAACCGUACAUGUAUCUAUGACAAUUAUUUAAUUAACGUGAAUAAAGCAAACUACGAAGGUUCAAGGCAUUUCUAAACUAAUGUUGUAUUUAUAUGAGGGUCAUAAAUUAAAGGAUUUUAUUUUUAUAUGGCACACCCCAAAUUAUUUUAAGAAGAAUUAGUUCUUGAACUACAUUUGUGAGGGUCAUGUGUUAUAAAUUUAAAGCAUGGCACACCUCAAAUUAUUUUAAGAAAAAAAAGGGUUAUAUAUUUUAUAGGGCAAACUAAAGGUAUUCCUAUUUUAAACUAAUUUAAAACUAAUUAUCACAACCACGUCACGGGAGCCGUACCCGUAGUUGUAAUAAUUGGAAAGUAUACUUCGUUACUUAAUCUUAACAGAGAUUUAAUAUAAUCGAAGUCUUCUUCGAAAAACAAGUUGAAGAACAUUGUUAGUUUCACUGUGUAUGAACCAAAUGCAUAAAUAACAUGAUUUAUAUAAGCGGCUAUUUACAUAAUUAGCCAACGACAGUGUCUGAUGUUAGUCCUGUGUAUUCUCAAUUAGACCAAACUUUCCAGAUCAGUCCAAUAAUUCAUUAUCAAAAUUCCGGAAGUCUCGAAAUCAAAUUUCGAUCUCUAGAACUAAAAAUGGACUUUUGGAUCAUUACAUGCUUAUGCUCAAAACGGCAAAAUCUUCCAAAAACUCUUCCAAAACAUAUCCGAGCCUCAUGGGACCUCAACCAAAUAUGCCAACACCCCCCAUAACAUAGUUAAAACUUGUUCCAACUUUCGGAACGCUCAAUACAACAUCAAAACAUCAAAUCACCCUUGGAUUCCAGCCUAAGAAUUCCAAAACUUCCGAAAUCCGAAUUCGAUCAAAAAGUCGACCAAACGACGUCCAAAUGACCUGAAAUUUUGCACACACAUCACAAAUGACAUAACAAAGCUAAAAAAACUCUCGGAAUUCCAUUCCGACCCUCGGAUCAAAAUCUCACCAAUCAACCGGAAUUCGCCAAAAUAUUAACUUUGUCAAUUCAAGUCAAAUCCUUCCACGAACUUCCAAAAUGCAUUCUGAUCGCGCUGCUAAGUCAUAAAUCACCCAAAAAAUCUAUUUAAAUCAUAAAAUUUCUGAUCCGAGCUCAUAUACAAAUAAGUCAAACCUUUAAAAUUCAAAGCUUUCAACUAAGACUGUUCCUUCAAAUUCAUUCUGAUUUUUUCUGAAAACCAAAACCAACGAUCUACUUCAGUCAUAAUACGUUUCACGGGGCAAGUCAUGCCCAGGAACUGGCGAUCAAAGUGAAAAAGUUCAAAAUGACCGGUCGGGUCGUUACACUAUUUUUCCUGAGAAAGUCCGAGUUUCGACAUUCAUGGGGGUAAUAAUUCAUUUCCUUUUGGUAUUUGAGUAUUUGAAGAGUCGCCACCUAACGGAUUAUGGUGCGUUAGGGCACCUAGAGCGAUUAACUCUUAGACUAGUUUGCAUUACCAGAGAUUUAGGGUAAGGGCUCGAAAUAACCUAGAGGGGAAGGUGUUAGGCACCCCUCUCGAUCCACAAUGGUGGGUCCCGACCAAACUGAUACUUAAGAAUUAGUCCUUUAACAUAUAAGUAGUUGAAACACAUAAUUGCAAAUAAAAAGCAUGUUGGACAUUGUAUGACCCAAAUAAUAAGACAAGGAAUUUGAAAAAGUUGCAUGUAAAAAGUAAAGUUUAAACAUCGGGAUUGGGAAAAGUGGUCCUAGGUUGGUUAGCCUAUAGGAUCACCCCACACAAUGCCCUGUAAACACUCCUCAAUGAGGGGCUACACGUGACAUUAGCGCGUAGUCAUCAUAUCCUUACUACCCAUUCUCCCCGUGGUCACAGCCUAAAGCGUUCUAAUAACCUUAACAAUGUCCUAUGCAUGCACUACCCGUCCCUUCCUCAGGGCCUUGGAGGUAUUUUAGGACCUCUAUUUUUGGACAGUUCUAGACCUUCCUAAGAUUUUAAAGGAUAAAAGUCAAGGCGUCAAUCAAGAACAGUUAGGAGUGCAUUUAAAGGGAACAAUUUAUAGGGCCACAGUUACCUCCACAAAUAUAACAAGUAAAUGCACGCCUUCAAACAAUAUUCAAGUACUUUAUAAGAAAAUUCUAGAACAUGAUAUCUAGGUGAGCAGGGAUUAUACAAUAGUGAAUUAGGACAAAGUGUCAAAAUCCUAUUUAGCUUGCCUACUGAUUUAAACCUGUUAAAUCUGGACAGUUUUAAAUAACCAAAGCACCUCUUUAGAGUUGCAAAAUUUAAAUCGCCCCUAUAGGCUUGCCUAAACACAGAACAGUGAUGCCCUAAGAGCAUGAUAUCUACAUUAAUGUAGUAAAACAACAAACAAUUUUAAACGGAUACUUGAGAUCCUAUAGACAUGUUUUCUAACGGUAGUAAAUUAAGGCAGUGUUUGAAAACUCAUUAAAGAAGCGGACAGUUUAUUAAACCAGUUCAAAAAGGAACUAACAUGGAUUAAACUGAUUUGUUUAACUAAGCUGAUUUUAUGAUCUAUAGGAAGGAUUUCUACUAGAACUGAUUUUAAUUCCUAUAGGCAUGGUAUCUAAAUGUUAAGAGCUGAUUUUCGAACUUAUAGCCAUGAUUUCUAGUGAGACGAAUGUAAAUACAUGCAGUAGCAGAAGUUGAACUCAAUCACUUUACACUCUAUAUGCAUGGUAUCUAAUUAUUAUCACACCUCCUUUUUACAACCCGAAAGGGUACAUAAGGGAGUUUUUCUAAUUAAAGUGACAUUAUUCGAAAUGGGAUUAUUUAUUUAUUAGAGUCGCCACUUGGGAUAAUUCACUUGGUGUCCCAAGUCACCGAUUUAUUUUUAAAUCCCAAAUCGAGGAAAUUCGACUUUCCUUUUGAAGUCUGCGAAGCAGAAAUUCCAAGUAAGGAAUUCUGUUAACCCGGGAGAAGGUGUUAAGCAUUCCCGGGUUCCGUGUUUCUAGCACGGUCGCUUAAACUAUUAUAAUUGGCAUAUUAUCUGAUUUUCAUACAUGUUAAGCCUAUGGUUCAAUUUACUUAUUAACCGCUUUUAAUAAUUAAUGUUACAUAUUGUCAAUCAUGUCACGAGAACCGUACCCACGAUCUAUAAAAUGUUUAAUUUUAAAGAUUAAAUUAUGGUCAGAUCACAUAAAUGUACCCCCGGAUUUUAGUAAUUAGGCGUCACAAUUACGUCACGAAAACCGUACCCAUAGCUACAACAAUUAUUUAAUUAAUGCGCCUAAAGCAAACUACGAAGAUUCAAGGCAUUUCUAAACUAAUUUUGUAUUUAUAUGAGGGCCAUAAAUUAAAGGAUUUUAUUUGUAUAUGGCACACCCCAAAUUAUUUUAAGAAGAAUUAGUUCUUGAACUACAUUUGUGAGGGCCAUGUGUUAUAAAUUUAAAGCAUGGCACACCUCAAAUUAUUUUAGGAAAAAAAAAGGUUAUAUAUUUUAAAGGGCAAACUAAAGCUAUUCCUAUUUUAAACUAAUUUAAAACUAAUUAUCACAACCACGUCACGGGAGCCGUACCCGUAGUUGUAAUAAUUGGAAAGUAUACUUCGUUACUUAAUCUUAACAGAGAUUUAAUAUAAUCGAAGUCUUCUUCGAAAAACAAGUUGAAGAACAUUGUUAGUUUCACUGUGUAUGAACCAAAUGCAUAAAUAACAUGAUUUAUAUAAGUGGCUAUUUACAUAAUUUGCCAACGACAGUGUCUGAUGCUAGUCCUGCGUAUUCUUGAAACAAACAUCAAUAAUGAAUUAACACUUUACAAUUUAAAUAAUCAGAAAUAAAUAUUACAAGGUUAUGAUUAAUUCUUUUACUACUUCGAAUCUAUUGAGAUCUGCCCAAUUUUUAUAUCGUCAGCACCAUUUCUUUUGAAAUGAAGAUAUUCUCAAGCCAACAACACACACUCAUACAUUUUAAAUAGCCGAGGAACUUUACUGUCUUAAUAUUUUUUUAAAAUGAUCCUCACAACAUGAUUAAAUCAACAUUCAUUUCAAUGCAUCAGUAACCUAUUUCAAAUACAAGGGUGGAUAAAAUACGUUUAAACUAGGUGAUAUAGAACAUGCCAAUCACACAGACAUUGAACGGAAAUUUAAACUCAAAACGUCAUGCUUGAACAUGCAAAUUUCAUAGCAGACAAUCAAAAAUCAAACAUUUAGAUUUAAACCCUUUAAGAAUACACUACAGAUAUUUCAAUCACUGGACCUAAAGAGAAUAGCUUGAAGCAAUUCCGACACAGAAACAACAGCGAGCAAAGCGAGAUUCCCCAGCUUCCAUGUACGAAAAUCAUUCUCAUGUUCUUUAUAAAACUCAAACAAAACAUGGAUUAAAAGUAACAGGCCAACAUCCAGUUAAAAAAAACAAGUAACAGAAAACCAUAAGAAAAGAAAACAAAUGAAACUCAAAUAGCAAUCUUCCUUUAUAGCAAUUAUAGAAUCAACAAAUACACUGUUUUCUUGACUCCAAAAUUCCAGCGAGAUUCAACAACAGUAUCGAGUAGAACUUGCAAGCCAAAUCAAAAUUUCGAAACCCCACUUCGGACAAAAUCGACAGAGUGCAGAAAAUUCAAAACUCCACCCCAAUCUUCAACUUGAGGAUUUAAACCAAACUUCCUUUCUAAAGAAAGAACAGAAAUCAAGAGAAAAAGAAAACAAUGUUAGAAGAGAUCUGUUUCAGCAAUCUUUUUUUUUUGUUUUUUGAUUUUUUUCUCUUAAAACAAAACAAAGCUUGAAUGAAAACUAAACUCAAGCCAUAUAUUUUUUUUGUGUAUCUUUUCAGAAAAAAAAAAUGACAAAGAAGACUGAAGAAGAUAAAGGAAAAGAAAACUUGAAGGAAAGUGACGACUAAAAACCUCAUAUAUAUAGCCUUCAAAAACUUUCAAAAUCUGCCCAAUUUUGAAAAAAUCUUCAGGAUUUUUGAACAAUUUUGGGACAAAUGGAGGGCGUGGAUUGAUUCACAUCUAUCUACGGUUCCCAUUCAUCUAACAAUUGUCCUUUUUGUACAGAAAUUCAUAUGAUUUAGGAGAGAAUAUUCGAAUUCCUUCUGACAAAAACCAUUAGGAAUCAAAUAACGUGGAGGGAGGGACCAUUUUGAGUGAACUCGGGUGAGCUCUAGGCGAGUUGGGGUCGGGCUCAGUGAAGAAGAUGAACAGUAGUGCCGGAUUCCCUGAUUCUCUAGGGUUCCUGAUUUGGGAAAAAUCUUAUCAGGUGGUUU
Molecule: long non-coding RNA, 13363 nt
Filed under: Nicotiana tabacum (common tobacco)
Lineage: Eukaryota; Viridiplantae; Streptophyta; Magnoliopsida; Solanales; Solanaceae
Description: long non-coding RNA (NTAB_LNC016898)
Source: RNAcentral